CCUACGGGCGGCAGCAGUGAGGAAUAUUGGUCAAUGGACGAGAGUCUGAACCAGCCAAGUAGCGUGAAGGAUGACUGCCCUAUGGGUUGUAAACUUCUUUUAUAUGGGAAUAAAACGUUCCACGUGUGGGAUUUUGUAUGUACCAUAUGAAUAAGGAUCGGCUAACUCCGUGCCAGCAGCCGCGGUAAUACGGAGGAUCCGAGCGUUAUCCGGAGUUAUUGGGGUUAAAGGGAGCGUAGGUGGAUUGUUAAGUCAGUUGUGAAAGUUUGCGGCUCAACCGUAAAAGUGCAGUUGAAACUGGCAGUCUUGAGUACAGUAGAGGUGGGCGGAAUUCGUGGUGUAGCGGUGAAAUGCUUAGAUAUCACGAAGAACGCCGAUUGCGAAGGCAGUUCACUGGACUGCAACUGACACUGAGGCUCGAAAGUGUGGGUAUCAAACAGGAUUAGAUACCCGAGUAGUC
This 460-nucleotide ribosomal RNA is filed under the name uncultured bacterium. RNAcentral describes it as "partial 16S ribosomal RNA". It matches the Rfam family "Bacterial small subunit ribosomal RNA", at positions 338 to 795 of the family's 1533-position model. The record is from RNAcentral.